Molecule: non-coding RNA, 1322 nt
Organism: Caretta caretta (loggerhead turtle)
Lineage: Eukaryota; Metazoa; Chordata; Testudines; Cheloniidae
Source: RefSeq, a predicted model, not a curated record
AGCGAAGGCAACUCAUGUAAGCUGAAGGAAAGCAGCCUACCUCUCGGGAAUCGCCGCCAAGGUCCUGAUCCCUUUACGCUCAGCCAGCCAAGGCGCUCCUACCCAGGGAGAUCGGAUCACUCAUUCUGGAAAUGCAGCCACCUUGUCAGCAACUAACGGCAAUGCCAAAACAAGAUGGGGACAAGCAGUGGAGUGUACGGUCUCCAAAUUAAACUGCACAGAGACUUCUAGGGAAACGCAAUGUACCUGUGGGCCAACCUGUCUGGAAAGAGCCACCGUCAUUUCUAUGGACCUGAAAUCAGGAUUUAACUUACACAUUGCAAGAAGAGAAUUUGAGGGAUAACAACUGUGUAUUAGCAAACAUGUUCACCUGAGCUAUGGACGGAGCCAUUAUGUAAUCUUUUAGACUACUGCUAGAACCUAUCUAGGGGCUUGGAAACUCGCACUCUGUCGCUUCUCUCCACCCAUUGGCACCCUAUAUAAUCUAUUGUAAUCAAUUGUUUAGCAGUGUCUUACUGAGCCUAAUAAGCAAAGUGACACUCCGACAGCACUGUGUGUAAUAAAUCCUCGUGCUUGACUGUACAUGGUGUCGAACUUCCAUUCCUUCACUAGGCCAUCCCUUUCAGGUGUUUGGCUAACCUGUUCUUAAAACUCUCCAACGAUGGGGAUUCCACAAUCACCCUUGGAAGUCUCUUUCAGAACUUAACUACCCUUACAGUUGGAAAGUUUCUCCUAUUGUCUAACCUAAUGCUAUGGCUACACUGCACACCAUACAGCAGCGUCGCUGUAAGGUAUGCAGUGUAGCUGUUCUUUGUUUCUCCUGCUGACAAAAUAAAGCCAUCCCCCUCGAGAGAUGGUAUCUUUGUGGGUGGGAGAGUGUCUCCCGCCAACAAAGCACUGUCCACACUGGCGCUUUUUGUCAGUAAAACUUUUGUUGGUCAGGGGUGUGUGUUUUUUUUCAGACCCUCUACCAACAAAAGUUUUACUGGCAAAAGUGCAGUGUAGACAAUCCCCAGUAUCAAAGAUGUAGGCUAAGCCCACUACUUCUUGUCCUACCUUCAGUAGAUAGGGAGAACAAAUUAUCACAGUCCUCUUUAUAACAGCCCUUAACAUAUCUGAAGACUUAUCAAAGUCCCUCAGUCUUCUUUUCUUAAGAAACACAACCAGUUUUUUUUUUUUAACCUUUCAUUGCUCCCCUCUGCAUUCCUUCCCAUUUGUCCGCAUUUUUCCUAAAGUGUGGCACCCAGAAUUCGGCACAGUUCUCUGGCUCAGCAGUGAGGGACAGUUACCUCCUAUCUGACAUACAACACUCCCUGUUAAUA